AGGUGAUUACAAGGUAAAUGAAUAAGGCUCUAGAUGGUGUUGUGCACUGAUAAAUGCCUGCUGUUUUUCUUCUUCAGAGUAUUAAAAUUUACUCUUCUCUGGGGUACAAGAAAGUCUGUACUUUGAAGAGAGAGGUGUGCAUUGCAAGUAAAAUAAGCAUUGUUUCAUCUGUGCCUUCCAGGCUGGGAGAGUGCUAAGCAUUGCAGUUCCAGUUGUACUGGACUUGAGAGACAAACAAGCAGACCUGUUUGACUCAACCACCCCCAACCGCAGUACCCACCACCCUUUCUCUUCUGACUGUUUUUUUCUUUCUUACUCUGUUUGCUUAUCUAUAAUGACAAUUCUUCCUGAAAACUAAAAGAGACACAAUAUUUUCCCUUGUCAACCAGCACUUGUGCACUAACUCUGCCCAAAGUAUAAAAUUCACAGAAGCCCUCCCUCCCCCGAAUGGGCACCAGAUCCUUACAUGUUUGCCUACAUUGAUUUUAUGGGAAUGCUUAAGAGGCUGUACUUAAAAUUAAUUUCUGGCAAGCGGGAUAAGUGUCAGUGUUUUAUUUUCUGGAUCCCUUUCCUUGUAAAAGGCAUUUGAUGCAAAGUAAGGAGACCCCCUGAAAGGUAGAAGAGGGACUGGGUUGGGACAGAACAGCAUCUGCAGGAGGGGCACGGGGAGUCCUCCCUCUGUAGACUUUAAUCCUCAGAGAGCUAAUAAUUCCCCUCCGGUGCAUUAUGUGCCUUGAUAAUUAUUAGGUACUGAUAUUUGUCAUGCGUCACACUCAUUUCAGGUAGAGGAAAAGUCCUUUGAUAAAGAUGAUUUAAUAUUUUAUUGACCACACAGGCAAAGCCAGUGGUUGCUUCAUUUUCCCUUUUAAAGCCAAUUAAUAGGAAAUAAAAACUAAUGAGUUAUUUUCAAAUUAUUAUAUAUUUAAAUUUUAUUUUAUGCAUAUGGAUAUUGUGCUGGGACGUGUAUCUUUGUAGCACAUGUGUAGAGUGCCCUUGGAGGCCAGAAGAGUGUGUUAGAUCUAGCACUGGACUUGCAGAGGGUUGUGAACCACCCUGUGGGUACUGAGAAUCGAACCUGCAUCCUCUGAAAAAAACCAACAGUAUUCUUAACCUCUGAGUCAUCGUUCCGGACCAAAAUCAUUUUAUUUCUUCUAGAAAGAUUUCUGACCAUAGUUUAAGAAUAAGAAUAAUGGGUUGUAACAUUUUAAGAAUUUAUUUCUUAUAGAAACAUUUCUAGCCACCAUUUCUCUGACCCAUCUGUCUAGAUGGGAUUCGUAUAACGCAGUUCAGAUCCAGAUGCCCUCAGGAACUGUGACUAUAGAGAUGAGUGCCCUUCCAUUCUCUCGGCAUUUCUCAGAAUGAAAGGUCUUUCUGGGUUAGCUUGGAAGACAGAAGCAGUCAAGUCAUUUCCUUAGGGUUUGCAUCGUCCAGCUUCCUAGCCAAGUUGGCAUUAGGAGUAAGCAGGUUACCCAGAGUAGCAUCUCUCGCUGUCUUAGAGUUUCUAUUGCUGAGAUAAACACCACGACUGAAAGAAACUUUGGGAGGAAACAGUUUAUCUAGCAUAUACCUUCCAUAUCAUAAUCCAUUGUUGAAGGAUGUCAGGGCAGAAGCCUGAAGGCUGGAGCUGGAGCAGAGGGCAUGGCAGAAUGCUGCUUCAUGGCUUUCUCAGCCUACUGAUAACACCUGAACCACCAGCCUGGGGGUGUCACUGCCCACGGUGAACUGUGUCCUCUCACAUCAGUUCACAGUUAUGAAAAUGCACAACAGGCUUGUCCACAAGCCAAUCUAUUGGGGACACUUUUUUCACUUGAGGCUCCUUCUUCCAAAAUGACUCUAGGUUAUGUUGAAUUGACCUAAAACUAGUCAUUACAGUCUUGUUUUGGAAAAAGUCAUUUUCUCAGGCUUUUUGUAUGGUACCAAAUGAAAAUUUUCUAACUUUAAGCCUACCUAUUCUUACUCUUUAAAAUUAUUUUAAUCUAAUAUAUUCUGACCAUGCUUUUCCCUAGCCUGAAUCUUGUCCAUCUCUAAACUCCAUGUCUCCUUCCCCACCCCCUCAAACAGGCAAUCAAAUUUUUUUUUUAAUUUUAAAGAAAACACACACAUAC
Molecule: long non-coding RNA, 2105 nt
Filed under: Mus musculus (house mouse)
Lineage: Eukaryota; Metazoa; Chordata; Mammalia; Rodentia; Muridae
Description: long non-coding RNA chr1:43556847-43558952
Source: RNAcentral